UUGCGUGUAUGUACUUACCAUAAAAUUACAAUUGUAAAUUAAUAUUUUACAACUUUGCACAUUUUUUAGCUUCUUGCAAAAGAAACUUAUUUAAAAAUGAACAAAUCCAAAAAAUGUGAAAUCAUAUCUCGUCCAAAGUAAUUAAAGUUACGCGCGUCCUAGUUUUUUCUUUCUUCUUAACAGCAGAACCGCGAAGAAAGUGAGUUUAUAAGUAGGAAAUCGUUGGAGAUAUUUUUUUGAUCAUUUUCUCCAGAGCGAAUCUAUGAGUUUGAAAUAAAAAAAAAAAAAUCAGAACAUUAGUUAAAACUUGAUCAACGAACGAAUCAAAUCAAAAUUCAACUAAUAAUAUAAAAUGCCUGUAAAAAUAAUUUUGUUAUUGAUUGUGACACACAUUGGUUUAUCAAAUUCGACAUUCAGGACUUUUGCAUCAAAGGUUCCGUGUUCAAGAUUAGAAAGAGAGAUUUUUAGAAACGGCACCCGAAAGCUAAUAGAUGUUGAUUAUUUUUGGCCAAACGUCAAAAAUUUGAAAUCUGAUUUGGAAAAUGAUAUCGUCGAACAUAUUUAUGGCACAGAAGGAUCAGAAUUAUUUCCAAUUUUUUAUAAAAGGUGUGGUGGAACUGCCAAAAGGUUGACUCAACGAAAUUUGAAGGAAUUAAUUCUUUUUCUGCUCAAAAAUCAAGCGGCUGGUAGAUCGUUGCACCAUUUUACCGCACUUAACUGUCCACUGUUUAACCAUAACCAAAAACGUUACGUAUUAGAGAGCUCGGGAAUUCAACUUUGUUAUUUUAUUUUCGACAAUCACGAUUGCUGUUAAUUAUUAUGUAAUUUGUAAACAAUAUACUAAUUUUAUA
This is a long non-coding RNA of Cotesia glomerata, 851 nucleotides long. RefSeq lists it as uncharacterized. The transcript has 3 exons. The record is from RefSeq and is a predicted model, not a curated record. Lineage: Eukaryota; Metazoa; Arthropoda; Insecta; Hymenoptera; Braconidae.